This 73-nucleotide transfer RNA is filed under the name Canis lupus dingo (dingo). It matches the Rfam family "tRNA". Rfam says of the family: Transfer RNA (tRNA) molecules are approximately 80 nucleotides in length. Their secondary structure includes four short double-helical elements and three loops (D, anti-codon, and T loops). Further hydrogen bonds mediate the characteristic L-shaped molecular structure. tRNAs have two regions of fundamental functional importance: the anti-codon, which is responsible for specific mRNA codon recognition, and the 3' end, to which the tRNAs corresponding amino acid is attached (by aminoacyl-tRNA synthetases). tRNAs cope with the degeneracy of the genetic code in two manners: having more than one tRNA (with a specific anti-codon) for a particular amino acid; and 'wobble' base-pairing, i.e. permitting non-standard base-pairing at the 3rd anti-codon position. Lineage: Eukaryota; Metazoa; Chordata; Mammalia; Carnivora; Canidae. The record is from Rfam by way of RNAcentral.
ACCUGGCUGGCUUAAUCGGUAGAGCUUGCCACUUUUAAUCUCAGGGCCGUGGGUUCAAGCCCUACGUUGGGCA